GACGAACGCUGGCGGCGCGCCUAACACAUGCAAGUCGAACGGAGCUGAGAGAAGCUUGCUUUUCUUAGCUUAGUGGCGAACGGGUGAGUAACGCGUGAGUAACCUGCCCUGGAGUGGGGGACAACAGUUGGAAACGACUGCUAAUACCGCAUAAGCCCACGGCCCGGCAUCGGGCUGCGGGAAAAGGAUUUAUUCGCUUCAGGAUGGACUCGCGUCCAAUUAGCUAGUUGGUGAGGUAACGGCCCACCAAGGCGACGAUUGGUAGCCGGACUGAGAGGUUGAACGGCCACAUUGGGACUGAGACACGGCCCAGACUCCUACGGGAGGCAGCAGUGGGGGAUAUUGCACAAUGGGGGAAACCCUGAUGCAGCGACGCCGCGUGGAGGAAGAAGGUUUUCGGAUUGUAAACUCCUGUCGUUAGGGACGAUAAUGACGGUACCUAACAAGAAAGCACCGGCUAACUACGUGCCAGCAGCCGCGGUAAAACGUAGGGUGCAAGCGUUGUCCGGAAUUACUGGGUGUAAAGGGAGCGCAGGCGGACCGGCAAGUUGGAAGUGAAAACUAUGGGCUCAACCCAUAAAUUUGCUUUCAAAACUGCUGGCCUUGAGUAGUGCAGAGGUAGGUGGAAUUCCCGGUGUAGCGGUGGAAUGCGUAGAUAUCGGGAGGAACACCAGUGGCGAAGGCGACCUACUGGGCACCAACUGACGCUGAGGCUCGAAAGCAUGGGUAGCAAACAGGAUUAGAUACCCUGGUAGUCCAUGCCGUAAACGAUGAUUACUAGGUGUUGGAGGAUUGACCCCUUCAGUGCCGCAGUUAACACAAUAAGUAAUCCACCUGGGGAGUACGCCGGCAACGGUGAAACUCAAAGGAAUUGACGGGGGCCCGCACAAGCGGAGGAACAUGUGGUUUAAUUCGAUGAUACGCGAGGAACCUUACCCGGGCUUAAAUUGCAACAGAAUAUAUUGGAAACAGUAUAGCCGUAAGGCUGUUGCGAAGGUGCUGCAUGGUUGUCGUCAGCUCGUGCCGUGAGGUGUCGGCUUAAGUGCCAUAACGAGCGCAACCCUUAUCUUUAGUUACUAACAGGUUAUGCUGAGGACUCUAGAGAGACUGCCGUCGUAAGAUGUGAGGAAGGUGGGGAUGACGUCAAAUCAGCACGGCCCUUACGUCCGGGGCUACACACGUGUUACAAUGGGGGGUACAGAAGGCGGCUACCUGGUGACAGGAUGCUAAUCCCAAAAACCUCUCUCAGUUCGGAUCGAAGUCUGCAACCCGACUUCGUGAAGCUGGAUUCGCUAGUAAUCGCGCAUCAGCCAUGGCGCGGUGAAUACGUUCCCGGGCCU
This 1340-nucleotide ribosomal RNA is filed under the name uncultured bacterium. Its description in RNAcentral is "bacterial SSU rRNA". It matches the Rfam family "Bacterial small subunit ribosomal RNA", at positions 28 to 1381 of the family's 1533-position model. The record is from RNAcentral.